RNAcentral lists this long non-coding RNA (717 nucleotides) under Ursus maritimus (polar bear). RNAcentral's name for it is "lncRNA (ENSUMAG00000019883.1)". Lineage: Eukaryota; Metazoa; Chordata; Mammalia; Carnivora; Ursidae. The record is from RNAcentral.
AAGGAAAGAGAAGAAUAAAGGGCGUGACUAGCCUGAAGUCAUGUAGUGAGUUCACGACACAAGUGGAUUCCACUGGGGUCUUCAGACACUCAGAUUGGUGUUCUUUCCACUGAAGGGAAUUGCAUGCUUCAGGAGUCCAGGCUCAAGAGGACCUCUGACCCAAUUUCAGAACUGACUUUGAUUCUUCACUUCAGAUGGAAAUUAAGAUUGUGGAGAAGCCACGUCACCUGCUACUGCUCCCCCGAUUCUCUUUUGCUGGCGGCUUUGUAGUUUGGAACAACGUGCAAUGGGCCGAGGUCCCAGGGAACUCUGAGCUGGAGGUUGGAGCAUCACCAAAGAGGAGUGGAAAACUUGAUCUGGUUGCCAUGGAGACCAGCCACUGACUUCAGAGUGCCUGUUUAUUAAAGAUGAAAGUAAUGUAUGCCUGGCUGAUCUGAGCAGCUGUCAGAGAUUCGGCUGUUAGCAGAGGAAGUCACUAAUUUCGAGGCAUAAUCACUCAUCUAAGAGAGAGACGGCCCCCCUUCAUCUUCCGCGUGGAGCUGGGCUGUGUGGGUAAGGUCUGCCCCAGCAGGCGUUUCUUGUUCUUUUUUUUUUUUUUUUUUGGUUGUUUAUUUUAUGACUAAUAUGGUAACUGUACUUCUUUUCUCCCUUAUUUCCUACUGAAAAUAUAUAGCCUUACUGUCGUGUGAUAGCUUAAUUCAGCUUCGUGGGCAGGCC